CUUUUGAGUUGGUUGUCUCUCUCUGAGAGUUUAAGUUGGCCAGGAGAAACUGAGAGACCUUGAUGGUGUUUUAAAAGAAGAAAUUAGACAGGAGGCUCAAGGAAAUCUGAUUUCUACAAAAAGUAUU
Molecule: long non-coding RNA, 127 nt
Filed under: Monodelphis domestica (gray short-tailed opossum)
Lineage: Eukaryota; Metazoa; Chordata; Mammalia; Didelphimorphia; Didelphidae
Description: lncRNA (ENSMODG00000046349.1)
Source: RNAcentral